UGGGAAACUGCCUGAGGAGGGGGAUAAUACAAGGAAACGGUAGCUAAUACCGCAUAACGUCGCAAGACCAAAGAGGGGGACCUUCGGGCCUCUUGCCAUCGGAUGUGCCCAGAUGGGAUUAGCUUGUUGGUGGGGUAACGGCUCACCUAGGCGACGAUCCCUAGCUGGUCUGAGAGGAUGACCAGCCACACUGGAACUGAGACACGGUCCAGACUCCUACGGGAGGCAGCAGUGGGGAAUAUUGCACAAUGGGCGCAAGCCUGAUGCAGCCAUGCCGCGUGUAUGAAGAAGGCCUUCGGGUUGUAAAGUACUUUCAGCGGGGAGGAAGGGAGUAAAGUUAAUUCUUUUGCUCAUUGACGUUACCCGCAUAUGAAGCACCGGCUAACUCCGUGCCAGCAGCCGCGGUAUUACGGAGGGUGCAAGCGUUAAUCGGAAUUACUGGGCGUAAAGCGCACGCAGGCGGUUUGUUAAGUCAUAUGUGAAAUCCCCGGGCUCCACCUGGGAACUGCAUCUGACACUGGCACGCUUGAGUCUCGUGAGGUGGGUAGAAUUCCAGGUGUAGCGGUGACUUGCGUAGAGAUCUGGAGGAAUACC
RNAcentral lists this ribosomal RNA (594 nucleotides) under Escherichia coli. Its description in RNAcentral is "bacterial SSU rRNA". It matches the Rfam family "Bacterial small subunit ribosomal RNA", at positions 118 to 710 of the family's 1533-position model. Lineage: Bacteria; Pseudomonadati; Pseudomonadota; Gammaproteobacteria; Enterobacterales; Enterobacteriaceae. The record is from RNAcentral.